CUACGGGGCGCUGCAGUGAGGAAUAUUGCACAAUGGAGGAAACUCUGAUGCAGCAACGCCGCGUGGAGGAUGACGCAUUUCGGUGUGUAAACUCCUUUUAUAUGUCAAGAAAAUGACGGUAGCAUAUGAAUAAGCUCCGGCUAACUCCGUGCCAGCAGCCGCGGUAAUACGGAGGGAGAAAGCGUUACUCGGAAUCACUGGGCGUAAAGGACGCGUAGGCGGGAUAGAAAGUCAGGUGUGAAAUCCUAUGGCUCAACCAUAGAACUGCACUUGAAACUUCUAACCUAGAGUAUGGGAGGGGAAGAUGGAAUUAGUGGUGUAGGGGUAACAUCCGUAGAUAUCACUAGGAAUACCAAAAGCGAAGGCGAUCUUCUGGAACAAUACUGACGCUAAGGCGUGAAAGCGUGGGGAGCAAACAGGAUUAGAUACCCCCGUAGUC
This 439-nucleotide ribosomal RNA is filed under the name uncultured bacterium. RNAcentral describes it as "partial 16S ribosomal RNA". It matches the Rfam family "Bacterial small subunit ribosomal RNA", at positions 339 to 795 of the family's 1533-position model. The record is from RNAcentral.